This 232-nucleotide ribosomal RNA is filed under the name uncultured bacterium. RNAcentral describes it as "partial 16S ribosomal RNA". It matches the Rfam family "Bacterial small subunit ribosomal RNA", at positions 118 to 347 of the family's 1533-position model. The record is from RNAcentral.
UGAGCAACCUGCCCUUGACUCUGGAAUAACAGUUGGAAACAGCUGCUAAUACCGGAUACGACCUCUGACGGCAUCAUCUGGAGGUGGAAAGCUCCGACGGUCAAGGAUGGGCUCGCGGCCUAUCAGCUUGUUGGUGAGGUAACGGCCCACCAAGGCUUCGACGGGUAGCCGGCCUGAGAGGGCGACCGGCCACACUGGGACUGAGAUACGGCCCAGACUCCUACGGGAGCAG